GAGGGGGUGCCGGAGUGGUCAAACGGGCACGGUUGAGGGCCGUGUGGCUAAUGCCUGCGCGAGUUCAAACCUCGUCCCCCUCA
Molecule: transfer RNA, 83 nt
Filed under: Candidatus Woesearchaeota archaeon
Lineage: Archaea; Nanobdellati; Candidatus Woesearchaeota
Description: tRNA-Leu
Rfam family: tRNA
About the family: Transfer RNA (tRNA) molecules are approximately 80 nucleotides in length. Their secondary structure includes four short double-helical elements and three loops (D, anti-codon, and T loops). Further hydrogen bonds mediate the characteristic L-shaped molecular structure. tRNAs have two regions of fundamental functional importance: the anti-codon, which is responsible for specific mRNA codon recognition, and the 3' end, to which the tRNAs corresponding amino acid is attached (by aminoacyl-tRNA synthetases). tRNAs cope with the degeneracy of the genetic code in two manners: having more than one tRNA (with a specific anti-codon) for a particular amino acid; and 'wobble' base-pairing, i.e. permitting non-standard base-pairing at the 3rd anti-codon position.
Source: RNAcentral